RNAcentral lists this ribosomal RNA (443 nucleotides) under uncultured bacterium. Its description in RNAcentral is "bacterial SSU rRNA". It matches the Rfam family "Bacterial small subunit ribosomal RNA", at positions 13 to 450 of the family's 1533-position model. The record is from RNAcentral.
UUGAUCAUGGCUCAAAUUGAACGCUGGCGGCAGGCCUCCCUCAUGCAAGUCGAGGGGCACCACGAUGUACCAAUACAUUGGUGGCAACCGGCGCACGGGUGCGUAACGCGUAUGUAACCUGCCUUACACCGGGGGAUACCCUUCCAAAAGGGAAAUUAAUACCGCAUAAUAUUAUAUACCCACCUGGUUGUAUAAUUAAAACUUCGGUGGUGUAAAAUGGACAUGCGUAUGAUUAGCUAGUUGGGGGGGUAACGGCCCACCAAGGCAACAAUCAUUAGGGGUUCUGAAAGGAAGGUCCCCCACACUGGUACUGAAACACGGACCAAACUCCUACGGGAGGCAGCAUUGAGGAAUAUUGGUCAAUGGACGGAAUUCUGAACCACCCAUGUCCCGUGCAGGAUGACUGCCCUAUGGGUUGUAAACUGCUUUUGUAUGGAAAGAAA